UGUGUUUCAGGGCAUGGUGACGGUGUCCGGCUCUCUGUCGGUUCUGCUGGACUCGGUCCUGUGUGCUCUGGGUCCUCUGGCCUGUCUGACCACUCAGCUCCCAGAACUCAACGGCUGCCCACAUCACGUGCUGUCAAACACUCUGGACAACAUCGCCUACGUGAUGCCGGGUCUGUGACGGACUCGUCCUCGUCCCGAUGUCCCUCAGCAUCUCUGAUCCAACCAUCCACUAAAGACUUUACCACUUGCACAGUUUUGCACUGGAUCAACUCACACUUCAACUUUUAACCUGCUUCUUAAACCUGCGCUCCAUUUUUAUCUGAUCUAAUGUUGAUUUUGUAUUUCAGUUGUUUUUCUCUCAAUAAAAUCCAUUUUAGUAUGUUCUUUUAA
Molecule: long non-coding RNA, 390 nt
Organism: Carassius carassius (crucian carp)
Lineage: Eukaryota; Metazoa; Chordata; Actinopteri; Cypriniformes; Cyprinidae
Exons: 2
Source: RefSeq, a predicted model, not a curated record